RNAcentral lists this ribosomal RNA (508 nucleotides) under uncultured bacterium. RNAcentral describes it as "partial 16S ribosomal RNA". It matches the Rfam family "Bacterial small subunit ribosomal RNA", at positions 28 to 507 of the family's 1533-position model. The record is from RNAcentral.
GACGAACGCUGGCGGCGUGCCUAAUACAUGCAAGUCGAACGCUUCUUUCCUCCCGAGUGCUUGCACUCAAUUGGAAAGAGGAGUGGCGGACGGGUGAGUAACACGUGGGUAACCUACCCAUCAGAGGGGGAUGACACUUGGAAACAGGUGCUAAUACCGCAUAACAGUUUAUGCCGCAUGGCAUAAGAGUGAAAGGCGCUUUCGGGUGUCGCUGAUGGAUGGACCCGCGGUGCAUUAGCUAGUUGGUGAGGUAACGGCUCACCAAGGCCACGAUGCAUAGCCGACCUGAGAGGGUGAUCGGCCACACCGGGACUGAGACACGGCCCAGACUCCUACGGGAGGCAGCAGUAGGGAAUCUUCGGCAAUGGACGAAAGUCUGACCGAGCAACGCCGCGUGAGUGAAGAAGGUUUUCGGAUCGUAAAACUCUGUUGUUAGAGAAGAACAAGGACGUUAGUAACUGAACGUCCCCUGACGGUAUCUAACCAGAAAGCCACGGCUAACUACGUG